Non-coding RNA from Acanthosepion pharaonis, 102 nucleotides. NCBI's taxonomy places the organism in Eukaryota, Metazoa, Mollusca, Cephalopoda, Sepiida, Sepiidae. The record is from the annotation of a GenBank genome assembly.
UAAGUUGAAAUUCUGGGCCUCAUACAAUCACGGAAGUUAAGCAAUGUUGAGCCUAGUCAGUACCUAGAUGAUUGACUGCUUGGGAAUACCAGGUGCUGCAAG